AUUGAACGCUGGCGGCAUGCCUUACACAUGCAAGUCGAACGGUAACGGGCCUUCGGGUGCCGACGAGUGGCGGACGGGUGCGUAAUACAUCGGAACGUGCCCGAUCGUGGGGGAUAACGAGGCGAAAGCUUUGCUAGUACCGCAUACGAUCUACGGAUGAAAGCAGGGGACCGCAAGGCCUUGCGCGGACGGAGCGGCCGAUGGCAGAUUAGGUAGUUGGUGGGAUAAAAGCUUACCAAGCCGACGAUCUGUAGCUGGUCUGAGAGGAUGAUCAGCCACACUGGGACUGAGACACGGCCCAGACUCCUACGGGAGGCAGCAGUGGGGAAUUUUGGACAAUGGGCGCAAGCCUGAUCCAGCCAUGCCGCGUGCAGGAUGAAGGCCUUCGGGUUGUAAACUGCUUUUGUACGGAACGAAAAGCCUUCUUUUAAUACAGGAGGGUCAUGACGGUACCGUAAGAAUAAGCACCGGCUAACUACGUG
Molecule: ribosomal RNA, 482 nt
Filed under: uncultured bacterium
Lineage: Bacteria
Description: partial 16S ribosomal RNA
Rfam family: Bacterial small subunit ribosomal RNA
Source: RNAcentral